RNAcentral lists this ribosomal RNA (488 nucleotides) under uncultured bacterium. RNAcentral's name for it is "bacterial SSU rRNA". It matches the Rfam family "Bacterial small subunit ribosomal RNA", at positions 29 to 527 of the family's 1533-position model. The record is from RNAcentral.
AGUGAACGCUGGCGGCGUGCUUAACACAUGCAAGUCGAACGAGAACGGAUUAUAGCUUGCUAUAAUUGUCAGCUAAGUGGCGCACGGGUGAGUAAUGUAUAGGUAAUAUGCCUCUUACUAAGGGAUAACAAAUGGAAACGUUUGCUAAUACCUUAUACUCCUUAUUAACAGAAGUUAAUAAGGGAAAGAUUUAUUGGUAAGAGAUUAGCCUGUAUUGUAUCAGUUAGUUGGUGGGGUAAUGGCUUACCAAGACUAUGACACAUAACUGGUUUGAGAGGAUGAUCAGUCACACUGGAACUGAGACACGGUCCAGACUCCUACGGGAGGCAGCAGUGGGGAAUAUUGCACAAUGGACGAAAGUCUGAUGCAGCAACGCCGCGUGGAGGAUGACACAUUUCGGUGCGUAAACUCCUUUUAUAUGAGAAGAUAAUGACGGUAUUAUAUGAAUAAGCACCGGCUAACUCCGUGCCAGCAGCCGCGGUAAAACG